This 564-nucleotide ribosomal RNA is filed under the name uncultured bacterium. Its description in RNAcentral is "bacterial SSU rRNA". It matches the Rfam family "Bacterial small subunit ribosomal RNA", at positions 338 to 916 of the family's 1533-position model. The record is from RNAcentral.
CCUACGGCAGGCAGCAGUGGGGAAUUUUCCGCAAUGGGCGAAAGCCUGACGGAGCAACGCCGCGUGAGGGAUGAAGGCCUCUGGGCUGUAAACCUCUUUUUUCAAGGAAGAAGAUCUGACGGUACUUGAAGAAUAAGCCACGGCUAAUUCCGUGCCAGCAGCCGCGGUAAUACGGGAGUGGCAAGCGUUAUCCGGAAUUAUUGGGCGUAAAGCGUCCGCAGGCGGCCUUGAAAGUCUGUCGUUAAAGCGUGGAGCUUAACUCCAUUUAAGCGAUGGAAACUACAAGGCUAGAGUGUGGUAUGGGCAGAGGGAAUUCCCGGUGUAGCGGUGAAAUGCGUAGAUAUCGGGAAGAACACCAGUGGCGAAGGCGCUCUGCUGGGCCAUAACUGACGCUCAUGGACGAAAGCCAGGGGAGCGAAAGGGAUUAGAUACCCCUGUAGUCCUGGCCGUAAACGAUGAACACUAGGUGUCGGGGGAAUCGACCCCCUCGGUGUCGUAGCCAACGCGUUAAGUGUUCCGCCUGGGGAGUACGCACGCAAGUGUGAAACUCAAAGGAAUUGACGG